UACGUAGGCAGCGAGCGUUGUUCGGAGUUACUGGGCGUAAAGAGUGCGUAGGCGGUUUUCUAAGUUUGGUGUGAAAUCUCCCGGCUUAACUGGGAGGGUGCGCCGAAGACUGGAAGGCUUGAGUAUGGGAGAGGUAAGCGGAAUUCCUGGUGUAGCGGUGAAAUGCGUAGAUAUCAGGAGGAACACCUGCGGUGUAGACGGCUUACUGGACCGUAACUGACGCUGAAACACGAAAGCGUGGGUAGCAAACAGG
This 253-nucleotide ribosomal RNA is filed under the name uncultured bacterium. Its description in RNAcentral is "partial 16S ribosomal RNA". It matches the Rfam family "Bacterial small subunit ribosomal RNA", at positions 524 to 776 of the family's 1533-position model. The record is from RNAcentral.